Neofelis nebulosa (Clouded leopard) is the source of this 1719-nucleotide long non-coding RNA. RefSeq lists it as uncharacterized. NCBI's taxonomy places the organism in Eukaryota, Metazoa, Chordata, Mammalia, Carnivora, Felidae. The record is from RefSeq and is a predicted model, not a curated record. The transcript is spliced from 4 exons.
CCCUGCUCCCCCUAGCCUGGGGACGGUCAAAGCAGGAGACUGGAGGCCAACGGACACCUGUUGCCUCCCUUGAUCCUGGCGGGUCCCCCUCUCAGGUGUCAGCACCCCGACAAUCUGGGAUGAGACACGGCGAGCCUCCCCCCCUCCGACCGCCAACCUCUUCCCCUGUGCCCCUCCCUGAACCCUAUCUUGUCUUUCCUCUUCUGGGCCCUUAUCUCCCAGCCCAGACCUUUAUCAGGCCUCAACUCUUUCACCCUCACAGGGGAGCAGGAGGGGAGGCACCCUUGUACCGAUGCCCACAGGCUUUUCAAGGGGACGCAGGAAAGGUUUAGGGGAGACACCAAGAAGCGCCUGGAACAGGUGAUAAGGGAAAGUUCAGGACUCUGCCUUUGUGCUUGAGAAAUACACCGGUGCCUCCCUGCUUCGCGCCUGCGUUCAUCACGUUACUCUCAUUGCUCAGAAACUCCCAGCGGCUGUCCCCUCCCCUGCUGGCUGCAGAAAGGCCUAACUCCUCGGCACCCAAGGCCCACUACAGCACAUCCUCAUUUACCUUUUGAAGGUCAUAUCCCACUGCUCUGUCUCCAGGAAAGAACAGCUGACCCCAGCUGCAGCCAUCUCCUGGGGUCCGAACACGCUCUCUCCAGAGCCCCGCGUCUGGGAACCACGAGAGAAGGGUACGUGUUCCUUGCUUACAGAGUAAACAUCUGUCCGUAGCGUGGAGAAAAAAACUGAAAACCACUGCUGUGGGAGCAGCUAAGAAGGGUCUCUCCGAGGACAGUAUACACUUGGACUCAAACUCCCGAGGCUCAGAGGCUUCACAGGUGUCUGCACACCUUGCUUUAGGGAAAGAGGCACAGGUGAUGUGAUUGAGUGUCCGACUCUCCAUUUUGGCUCAGGUCAUGAUCCCAGGGUCAUGGGACUGAGCCCCACAUUGGGCUCUGAACUGAGCGUGGAGCCUGCUUAAGAUCCUCUCUCUCUCUCUCUCUCUCUCUCUCUCUCUCUCUCUCUCUCUCUCAUUCCCCCUCUGCCCCUCUCCCCUUUGUGCUCACACACUCUCUCUCUCGUAAAAAAAAAGUUGGAAAUAAUAAAUUUGGCUAACAGGGCUCCUAACCAUGAUGUACUGAGUCCUUGAUUAAUCUCGACAAUAUGAACUUGCAUAGGGAUAUUAGACUCUCCCACACCCUUUGUUCUAGAAGACCGGGGUUCUUUCUGAUCACGUCUCAUUUUACCUCCUCCGUGGCCCAGAGACGCCAGGAGGGGCACCACUGUCCUGUUUGCCAGCCCCGAGAAGCCCAGCCUUGCCAGAGUCACCCUGUGAGGGAGCGCCCCGUGAAGCCUGGGAAGGUUUCCGGUGGUUAGGAGCCAGGAAGUGAUGUGACCCCUGUCUCAAAAGGCCUAGAGGCACUGGCUCUCCCAGCCUGCCCUUGGUCUCCUCCCGCCUUGACUUCAGUGCAAACUCCCCCUGUCCACAAGGCACUCGGUUUACCUCUGGAACCCGGCUGCUACUUCCGACGGGGAGAAAGAGGCCAAAGAAGGCAACGCAGGCUGUGACUGCAGACCAGGCCUCCUUUCCCUCGGGAAAAGUCAGAGCUCGAGCGAGAAGAGGAGCAGGUGAAUCUACCCAUCAGCUCUACGGACCAUUUCCUCUGAAAUGCCCGGCCUCCCCCGGUAAGGUCCUCUCCAGUGAGAGCUGGCCAACAUCCCCACAUCCCAGGCAAA